UGGGGAAUAUUGGACAAUGGGCGCAAGCCUGAUCCAGCCAUGCCGCGUGAGUGAUGAAGGCCCUAGGGUUGUAAAGCUCUUUCACCGGUGAAGAUAAUGACGGUAACCGGAGAAGAAGCCCCGGCUAACUUCGUGCCAGCAGCCGCGGUAAUACGAAGGGGGCUAGCGUUGUUCGGAUUUACUGGGCGUAAAGCGCACGUAGGCGGACUUUUAAGUCAGGGGUGAAAUCCCGGGGCUCAACCCCGGAACUGCCUUUGAUACUGGAAGUCUUGAGUAUGGUAGAGGUGGGUGGAAUUCCGAGUGUAGAGGUGAAAUUCGUAGAUAUUCGGAGGAACACCAGUGGCGAAGGCGGCUCACUGGAACAUUACUGACGCUGAGGUGCGAAAGCGUGGGGAGCAAACAGG
This 404-nucleotide ribosomal RNA is filed under the name Actinomycetes bacterium. RNAcentral describes it as "Actinobacteria bacterium partial 16S ribosomal RNA". It matches the Rfam family "Bacterial small subunit ribosomal RNA", at positions 355 to 776 of the family's 1533-position model. Lineage: Bacteria; Bacillati; Actinomycetota; Actinomycetes. The record is from RNAcentral.